GACGAACGCUGGCGGCGUGCCUAAUACAUGCAAGUAGAACGCUGAAGGAGGAGCUUGCUCUUCUGGAUGAGUUGCGAACGGGUGAGUAACGCGUAGGUAACCUGCCUGGUAGCGGGGGAUAACUAUUGGAAACGAUAGUUAAUACCGCAUAACAGUAGAUGUUGCAUGACAUUUGCUUAAAAGGUGCAAUUGCACCACUACCAGAUGGACCUGCGUUGUAUUAGCUAGUUGGUGGGGUAACGGCUCACCAAGGCGACGAUACAUAGCCGACCUGAGAGGGUGAUCGGCCACACUGGGACUGAGACACGGCCCAGACUCCUACGGGAGGCAGCAGUAGGGAAUCUUCGGCAAUGGACGGAAGUCUGACCGAGCAACGCCGCGUGAGUGAAGAAGGUUUUCGGAUCGUAAAGCUCUGUUGUAAGAGAAGAACGAGUGUGAGAGUGGAAAGUUCACACU
Molecule: ribosomal RNA, 456 nt
Filed under: Streptococcus sp. oral taxon 064
Lineage: Bacteria; Bacillati; Bacillota; Bacilli; Lactobacillales; Streptococcaceae
Description: bacterial SSU rRNA
Rfam family: Bacterial small subunit ribosomal RNA
Source: RNAcentral